Molecule: ribosomal RNA, 440 nt
Filed under: uncultured bacterium
Lineage: Bacteria
Description: partial 16S ribosomal RNA
Rfam family: Bacterial small subunit ribosomal RNA
Source: RNAcentral
CCUACGGGCGGCAGCAGUAGGGAAUAUUGCUCAAUGGGGGAAACCCUGAAGCAGCAACGCCGCGUGGAGGAUGAAGGAUUUAGGAUUGUAAACUCCUUUUGUGAGAGAAGAAAAUGACGGUAUCUCAGGAAGAAGCACCGGCUAACUCCGUGCCAGCAGCCGCGGUAAUACGGAGGGUGCAAGCGUUACUCGGAAUCACUGGGCGUAAAGAGUGCGCAGGCGGGCUUGUAAGUCAGAUGUGAAAUCCUGUAGCUUAACUACAGAACUGCAUUUGAAACUAUGCGUCUAGAGUGUGGGAGAGGUAGGUGGAAUUCCUGGUGUAGGGGUAAAAUGCGUAGAUAUCAAGAGGAAUACUCAUUGCGAAGGCGACCUACUGGAACAUUACUGACGCUGAUGCACGAAAGCGUGGGGAGCAAACAGGAUUAGAUACCCCGGUAGUC